AGUGAACGCUGGCGGUAGGCCUAACACAUGCAAGUCGAACGGCAGCACAGUAAGAGCUUGCUCUUACGGGUGGCGAGUGGCGGACGGGUGAGGAAUACAUCGGAAUCUACUUUUUCGUGGGGGAUAACGUAGGGAAACUUACGCUGAUACCGCAUACGACCUACGGGUGAAAGCAGGGGAUCUUCGGACCUUGCGCGAUUGAAUGAGCCGAUGUCGGAUUAGCUAGUUGGCGGGGUAAAGGCCCACCAAGGCGACGAUCCGUAGCUGGUCUGAGAGGAUGAUCAGCCACACUGGAACUGAGACACGGUCCAGACUCCUACGGGAGGCAACAGUGGGGAAUAUUGGACAAUGGGCGCAAGCCUGAUCCAGCCAUACCGCGUGGGUGAAGAAGGCCUUCGGGUUGUAAAGCCCUUUUGUUGGGAAAGAAAAGCAGCAGGUUAAUACCCCGCUGUUCUGACGGUACCCAAAGAAUAAGCACCGGCUAACUUCGUG
This 492-nucleotide ribosomal RNA is filed under the name uncultured bacterium. RNAcentral describes it as "partial 16S ribosomal RNA". It matches the Rfam family "Bacterial small subunit ribosomal RNA", at positions 29 to 507 of the family's 1533-position model. The record is from RNAcentral.